Molecule: ribosomal RNA, 468 nt
Filed under: uncultured bacterium
Lineage: Bacteria
Description: partial 16S ribosomal RNA
Rfam family: Bacterial small subunit ribosomal RNA
Source: RNAcentral
GACGAACGCUGGCGGCGUGCUUAACACAUGCAAGUCGAACGGAAAGGCGCGGCUUUUGUGGGGUGCUCGAGUGGCGAACGGGUGAGUAACACGUGAGUAACCUGCCCUUGUCUGUGGGAGAACUUCAGGAAACUGGGGCUAAUACCGGAUAGGAGCUCCUGCUGCACGGUGGGGGUUGGAAAGUGUCGGCGGUUGGGGAUGGACUCGCGGCUUAUCAGCUUGUUGGUGGGGUAGGUGCUGACCAGGGCUUUGACGGGUAGCCGGCCUGAGAGGGUGACCGGCCACCUUGGGCCUGCGAUACGCACCAGACUCCUACGGGAGGCAGCAGUGGGGAAUAUUGCACAAUGGGCGCACGCCUGUUGCAGCAACGCCGCGUGCGGGAUGCCGGCCUUCGGGUUGUAAACCGCUUUCGCCUGUGACGAAGCGUGAGUGACGGUAAUGGGUAAAGAAGCACCGGCUAACUACGUG